CCCCCCUCACGCGCCCCGUUGCGCGCUGGUGUUGGGGCUCCUCCGCCUGGCGGAGGGCCCUGAAAGCGAGUGGCGGGCCUGGCUGGUUGGCUCCGAGCGCAGUACCGAACGCACCGUUCCCCCUCCCGCUCGCGGGCCCCGCCGGCGCCCAGCCGUCAAAACCGCAGCGCGCCCCGCGUGCGCUGCACUUUUACAA
RNAcentral lists this unclassified non-coding RNA (196 nucleotides) under uncultured Sporothrix. Its description in RNAcentral is "sequence contains ITS2". The record is from RNAcentral. Lineage: Eukaryota; Fungi; Ascomycota; Sordariomycetes; Ophiostomatales; Ophiostomataceae.